UUUCUGGACUUGACAUAGUAAGAAUGAUUUAGAGAUAGAUUAGUGUCUGCUUGCAGAAACUUGCAUACAGGUGCUGCACGGCUGUCGUCAGCUCGUGUCGUGAGAUGUUGGGUUAAGUCCCGCAACGAGCGCAACCCUCGUCCUUAGUUGCUAACAGUUCGGCUGAGAACUCUAAGGAGACUGCCUACGCAAGUAGGAGGAAGGUGAGGAUGACGUCAAGUCAUCAUGGCCCUUACGUCCAGGGCUACACACGUGCUACAAUGGGGUAUACAAAGAGCAGCAAUACGGUGACGUGGAGCAAAUCUCAAAAAUGCCUCCCAGUUCGGAUUGUAGUCUGCAACUCGACUACAUGAAGUUUGGAAUCGCUAGUAAUCGUAGAUCAGCUAUGCUACGGUGAAUAC
This 401-nucleotide ribosomal RNA is filed under the name Aliarcobacter butzleri. Its description in RNAcentral is "bacterial SSU rRNA". It matches the Rfam family "Bacterial small subunit ribosomal RNA", at positions 972 to 1369 of the family's 1533-position model. Lineage: Bacteria; Pseudomonadati; Campylobacterota; Epsilonproteobacteria; Campylobacterales; Arcobacteraceae. The record is from RNAcentral.